GCCUGUGUGGCUCAGUCGGUUGAGCAUCUGACUUCGGCUCAGGUCAUGAUCUCACGGUUCUCAUGGGUUCAAGCCCCACAUCACGCG
RNAcentral lists this transfer RNA (87 nucleotides) under Felis catus (domestic cat). It matches the Rfam family "tRNA". From Rfam's summary of the family: Transfer RNA (tRNA) molecules are approximately 80 nucleotides in length. The record is from Rfam by way of RNAcentral. Lineage: Eukaryota; Metazoa; Chordata; Mammalia; Carnivora; Felidae.